Molecule: ribosomal RNA, 496 nt
Filed under: uncultured bacterium
Lineage: Bacteria
Description: partial 16S ribosomal RNA
Rfam family: Bacterial small subunit ribosomal RNA
Source: RNAcentral
AUGCACGCUGGCGGCGUGCCUCAUCCCUGCAAGUCGAGCGCACGGACGAGAAGCUUGCUUUUCUGAUGUUAGCGGCGGACGGGUGAGUAACACGUGGAUAACCUACCUAUAAGACUGGGAUAACUUCGGGAAACCGGAGCUAAUACCGGAUAAUAUUUUGAACCGCAUGGUUCAAAAGUGAAAGACGGUCUUGCUGUCACUUAUAGAUGGAUCCGCGCUGCAUUAGCUAGUUGGUAAGGUAACGGCUUACCAAGGCAACGAUGCAUAGCCGACCUGAGAGGGUGAUCGGCCACACUGGAACUGAGACAUGGUCCAGACUCCUACGGGAGGCAGCAGUAGGGAAUCUUCCGCAAUGGGCGAAAGCCUGACGGAGCAACGCCGCGUGAGUGAUGAAGGUCUUCGGAUCGUAAAACUCUGUUAUUAGGGAAGAACAUAUGUGUAAGUAACUGUGCACAUCUUGACGGUACCUAAUCAGAAAGCCACGGCUAACUACGUG